GCCGAAGUGGUGGAACUGGUAGACACGCUAUCUUGAGGGGGUAGUGGACAACUGUCCGUGGAGGUUCGAAUCCUCUCUUCGGCACCA
RNAcentral lists this transfer RNA (87 nucleotides) under Gammaproteobacteria bacterium. Its description in RNAcentral is "tRNA-Leu". It matches the Rfam family "tRNA". From Rfam's summary of the family: Transfer RNA (tRNA) molecules are approximately 80 nucleotides in length. The record is from RNAcentral. RNAcentral also lists the same sequence under 3 other names. Lineage: Bacteria; Pseudomonadati; Pseudomonadota; Gammaproteobacteria.